UGUUAUGUACAUUCCUAAAAUGUUAAUGCAUUGGAUCCCAUCAAAACUCCACAGUUAAUCAGGAUUGGGCUAGAGUAGUACUGGGAUGGGUGACCUCCCAAGGAUUCCUAGUGUAAUGC
Molecule: non-coding RNA, 119 nt
Organism: Picea glauca (white spruce)
Lineage: Eukaryota; Viridiplantae; Streptophyta; Pinopsida; Pinales; Pinaceae
Source: Rfam